RNAcentral lists this ribosomal RNA (919 nucleotides) under Aplanochytrium sp. PBS07. RNAcentral describes it as "partial Eukaryotic large subunit ribosomal RNA". It matches the Rfam family "Eukaryotic large subunit ribosomal RNA", at positions 23 to 951 of the family's 3401-position model. Lineage: Eukaryota; Bigyra; Thraustochytrida; Thraustochytriidae. The record is from RNAcentral.
ACGCGCUGAACUUAAGCAUAUCACUAAGCGCAGGAUCAAAAAUAACUAUGAUUGCCUCAGUAGCGGCGAGCGAAGCGGCAAGAGCCCAAGAUGAAAAUUCCUGUCCUUUGGACUUGAAGAAUUGUAAUCUACAGGACGAUCGCUGACAGGCUCCCUGAAGCCCAAGUGUCUUGGAAUAGACUGCCAUGGAGGGUGAAAGCCCCGUACGGCAUCGGGGAAGCGCUAGGCGGCGUCUCAAGAGUCGAGUUGUUCGGGACUGCAGCUCUAAGUGGGAGGUAGACUUCUCCUAAGGCUAAAUAACUAUGAGAGACCGAUAGCGAACAAGUAAUGUGAAUGAAAGAUGAAAAAUUUACUAUCCGUAAGAACUUUGAAUUAUACAAACAAGAGAAUUAAAUAGACCUGAAACCGUUGAGGAGGAAGCGAUAGGUCGUUUUCGUUUGGCAUCGAGCGAGCAAAGCAUAGACGAGCCUGCUCGUUGCCAAAAAGCAAGAUAGGCUCUACCCGCGUCACAACCUUCCACUGGGCCAGAGCUUCGGCAUCACUCAGGGAGUGGCCGUCGCGGGUGGGGUCGAGGGACUUCGUGUGAUCUUGCUAAACUUGAUAUUGACCUACCGACCCGUCUUGGAACACGGAACAAGGAGUCUAACAAAUACGCGAUUAUGUUGGUGUUCUUUGAAACCAGACAUGAGCAAUGAAAGUAAGCGGUGCCAAUCGCAAGAUGCAGCAUCGGCCGAUUGUGAUCCUCUGGAGAAAUGUAUCGGCUACGAGCGUAUCUGUUAGGACCCGAAAGAUGGUGAACUACGCUUGGGUAGGGUGAAGCUAGGGGAAACUCUUGUGGAAGCCCGAAACGGUUCUGACGUGCAAAUCGAUCGUCAAAUUUGGGUAUAGGGGCGAAAGACUAAUCGAACCGUCUAGUAGC